CCUUCAGGCAAAUUAAAUUGUUCUUCAGAAACCUAAUUACUGCUGAAUGUUAAUUAAUAAACGGCUGUGGGAAUAUAAAUGAGGGGUAUAAAAAAAAUGGAUAAAGACUUCCUGCCUAAUUGAAAUUCCACAUCAUCAGAAUCCGAGUGAAAGUGAAGAAGUCCUUCCUCACUGCGUGAGAUAAUUAUUUCUUCAGUACACGUAUAACAACGAACAACACACUUCCCCGUAUCAAAUAAUCCCCGUAAUACUUAUUCCAUUUACAGCCUGUGAAAAUAGCAACAAAAUACCGGCGUCUCAUUAUUUCCCACGGUAUGAAUAACAAUUCAAGUUUAUCCAUCAAAUUGACAUUCGGAAUAAUGAAAAUCUAAUUGUUGUAUUUAUCCCGCAUAAAUAAUAACAAUGAGAGUCAAAUGGACGAGUGAAACUGACAAAUAGGUUUUUGGAGAUUUUAUGUCGUGACUUGACCGAAUUUUCUCGAGGAAAAGAAGUGAAAGAAAAAAUAAAAAUCGAGAGGCGUCACAGCGAAUGUAGCCCAUCGUCCUAGACCUUGUUCGAGGGUGAAAGUAAGGCCAUAUCAAUCGUCCUCAAGUAUCUCUCUCUUCCCCAGAUGUUUAUGCACUGAAAAUUGAAGAAGAAAAAUUAAUAAGCGGACGGAAUUAUCGAGACGGCCUGUGGAAAAGGCACAGACUCCCUGAGGAAUUAAAUAGUUAUAUUCGUCAGUCGAAAGUUUCACUUGCUUCAAGAUCCGGUUGAUCCAGUUUUCAUUAUGAUUUUUUUUUGUCUUCCAACAAAAUUCUUCUGGUGAUUUUUUUCAACGACAAAUGUCAGGAUUAGAAUACUAGCUGGAGAAAUGUUCCUUUCAGGUGGAUGAACUUUCGUUGGUUAAAUUUUCAUGAAUUAUUCAGAAUUUUUUUUUAUUAGGUCAUCUUGGGGUUUAGUUCGGUGAUGAAAUACGAUUUAUGACUCUCUUUCUUUGGAAUUUGUUUAAAGUUUUAAAUUCGUGUGAUUUUUAUUUUUAAUACGAGUUUUUUAAAUGGGUUGACGUUUUGUGGUGUUUCACACGCGAAAAUUAGUGCAUCCAACUU
Fopius arisanus is the source of this 1088-nucleotide long non-coding RNA. RefSeq lists it as uncharacterized. The transcript has 3 exons. NCBI's taxonomy places the organism in Eukaryota, Metazoa, Arthropoda, Insecta, Hymenoptera, Braconidae. The record is from RefSeq and is a predicted model, not a curated record.